AAAUUGAGCCCUAUUUUGAGGGAAAUUAGUUUUGCAGACUUCGUUUAAAAAAAAAAAAAAGCUAAAACUUUUGUUCACCAGCUGCUCAACUUUUCAGUCUGGGUCUGAGCUGGAACCUGCUGCAAGCGUUUGACGGCCAUUACCUUACUGGGUGGCCUCACUGUUCUUAGUUGGAUGACACAGGACUCUCCACUGCAAUCUACUUGCCUAGAGCAUCUCCAGAAGCAGGAGGGAGAAUGGUUUUGAAUCUUAGCUCUAUCAUUUUCUGACUCUGUACCAAAUUCCAUAUAGAUCUGUCAGAAUGAUGUAAGACCUGAAAUCUCUCUGUAAGUUGAUCCUCUUGACCCCAUGAUUAGGAGCUUCACAAUGUGGUACCACACCUGGAAAUCUCCAGAACAAGACCUCAAGGAAACACAGGAAAUCCCCGGAGUGGCAAAACAUCCGACUUGAAGACAUUCAAUUAUUUCUCUGUGCAUCAGGAGCAUCCCUGUUAAUUAUUGAUAUGCUUGAAAGAGUUUGUUUAGCAAUAGCCCUUGCAGAAAAAUAAAGAGCCGUGUAUUAUUCAUGAUGAACUAGACAAUGCUGCCACAAUGAGUUAACGUCUACAUCUUAUUCCCUUGGCAAAAGUUUAGUUCUUAAUCCUGCAAAUUUUGAUGCAAGAUGGUUGGCUCUCCAGGCAGAUACUGACCUUGUGAAAUAGUCAUCUCAACAUGUUCCUCCAUAACAAGACUCCAUAGCAGGGGAAGAUGGAAGUGGAGGGUCACACACCUGGUCUUAUACACUUUGAUGCAAAGGUGAUACAUGUCAUUUUUACUUACAGCUUGUAGGCCAGAACAAAGCCUAAUAUACCUGCAAGGGGUCUGGAAAAUAUUCUCAAGCACAUGGCUGUUUGGUGAGCAGUAAAUGUUUCCGCCACACCAGGCUUUGGCAGACUUCAAAUUUGUUCCUAAUAGGCCUAAUUUACACCACUAACUGUAUAUCCCUUGAGUCUUCCUGGAAUAUUUUGUUAAUGUUUUUCUAGCACAGUGUCUGGCACAAAGUAUGCAAUAAACAUACUCAGCAGAACA
Molecule: long non-coding RNA, 1067 nt
Organism: Lagenorhynchus albirostris (white-beaked dolphin)
Lineage: Eukaryota; Metazoa; Chordata; Mammalia; Artiodactyla; Delphinidae
Exons: 3
Source: RefSeq, a predicted model, not a curated record